RNAcentral lists this non-coding RNA (1648 nucleotides) under Saccharomyces cerevisiae YJM1129. Its description in RNAcentral is "15S ribosomal RNA". It matches the Rfam family "Bacterial small subunit ribosomal RNA". RNAcentral also lists the same sequence under 3 other names. Lineage: Eukaryota; Fungi; Ascomycota; Saccharomycetes; Saccharomycetales; Saccharomycetaceae. The record is from RNAcentral.
GUAAAAAAUUUAUAAGAAUAUGAUGUUGGUUCAGAUUAAGCGCUAAAUAAGGACAUGACACAUGCGAAUCAUACGUUUAUUAUUGAUAAGAUAAUAAAUAUGUGGUGUAAACGUGAGUAAUUUUAUUAGGAAUUAAUGAACUAUAGAAUAAGCUAAAUACUUAAUAUAUUAUUAUAUAAAAAUAAUUUAUAUAAUAAAAAGGAUAUAUAUAUAAUAUAUAUUUAUCUAUAGUCAAGCCAAUAAUGGUUUAGGUAGUAGGUUUAUUAAGAGUUAAACCUAGCCAACGAUCCAUAAUCGAUAAUGAAAGUUAGAACGAUCACGUUGACUCUGAAAUAUAGUCAAUAUCUAUAAGAUACAGCAGUGAGGAAUAUUGGACAAUGAUCGAAAGAUUGAUCCAGUUACUUAUUAGGAUGAUAUAUAAAAAUAUUUUAUUUUAUUUAUAAAUAUUAAAUAUUUAUAAUAAUAAUAAUAAUAAUAUAUAUAUAUAAAUUGAUUAAAAAUAAAAUCCAUAAAUAAUUAAAAUAAUGAUAUUAAUUACCAUAUAUAUUUUUAUAUGGAUAUAUAUAUUAAUAAUAAUAUUAAUUUUAUUAUUAUUAAUAAUAUAUUUUAAUAGUCCUGACUAAUAUUUGUGCCAGCAGUCGCGGUAACACAAAGAGGGCGAGCGUUAAUCAUAAUGGUUUAAAGGAUCCGUAGAAUGAAUUAUAUAUUAUAAUUUAGAGUUAAUAAAUAUAAUUAAAGAAUUAUAAUAGUAAAGAUGAAAUAAUAAUAAUAAUUAUAAGACUAAUAUAUGUGAAAAUAUUAAUUAAAUAUUAACUGACAUUGAGGGAUUAAAACUAGAGUAGCGAAACGGAUUCGAUACCCGUGUAGUUCUAGUAGUAAACUAUGAAUACAAUUAUUUAUAAUAUAUAUUAUAUAUAAAUAAUAAAUGAAAAUGAAAGUAUUCCACCUGAAGAGUACGUUAGCAAUAAUGAAACUCAAAACAAUAGACGGUUACAGACUUAAGCAGUGGAGCAUGUUAUUUAAUUCGAUAAUCCACGACUAACCUUACCAUAUUUUGAAUAUUAUAAUAAUUAUUAUAAUUAUUAUAUUACAGGCGUUACAUUGUUGUCUUUAGUUCGUGCUGCAAAGUUUUAGAUUAAGUUCAUAAACGAACAAAACUCCAUAUAUAUAAUUUUAAUUAUAUAUAAUUUUAUAUUAUUUAUUAAUAUAAAGAAAGGAAUUAAGACAAAUCAUAAUGAUCCUUAUAAUAUGGGUAAUAGACGUGCUAUAAUAAAAUGAUAAUAAAAUUAUAUAAAAUAUAUUUAAUUAUAUUUAAUUAAUAAUAUAAAACAUUUUAAUUUUUAAUAUAUUUUUUUAUUAUAUAUUAAUAUGAAUUAUAAUCUGAAAUUCGAUUAUAUGAAAAAAGAAUUGCUAGUAAUACGUAAAUUAGUAUGUUACGGUGAAUAUUCUAACUGUUUCGCACUAAUCACUCAUCACGCGUUGAAACAUAUUAUUAUCUUAUUAUUUAUAUAAUAUUUUUUAAUAAAUAUUAAUAAUUAUUAAUUUAUAUUUAUUUAUAUCAGAAAUAAUAUGAAUUAAUGCGAAGUUGAAAUACAGUUACCGUAGGGGAACCUGCGGUGGGCUUAUAAAUAUCUUAAAUAUUCUUACA